This 429-nucleotide ribosomal RNA is filed under the name Acidobacteriota bacterium. Its description in RNAcentral is "Acidobacteria bacterium partial 16S ribosomal RNA". It matches the Rfam family "Bacterial small subunit ribosomal RNA", at positions 355 to 776 of the family's 1533-position model. The record is from RNAcentral. Lineage: Bacteria; Pseudomonadati; Acidobacteriota.
UGGGGAAUUUUGGACAAUGGGGGAAACCCUGAUCCAGCCAUCCCGCGUGUGCGAUGAAGGCCUUCGGGUUGUAAAGCACUUUUGGCAGGAAAGAAACGUCAUGGGUUAAUACCCCGUGAAACUGACGGUACCUGCAGAAUAAGCACCGGCUAACUACGUGCCAGCAGCCGCGGUAAUACGUAGGGUGCAAGCGUUAAUCGGAAUUACUGGGCGUAAAGCGUGCGCAGGCGGUUCGGAAAGAAGGAUGUGAAAUCCCAGGGCUCAACUUUGGAACUGCAUUUUUAACUACCGGGCUAGAGUGUGGCAGAGGGAGGUGGAAUUCCGCGUGUAGCAGUGAAAUGCGUAGAUAUGCGGAGGAACACCGAUGGCGAAGGCGGCCUCCUGGGAUAACACUGACGCUCAUGCACGAAAGCGUGGGGAGCAAACAGG